RNAcentral lists this long non-coding RNA (212 nucleotides) under Spirodela polyrhiza (greater duckweed). RNAcentral describes it as "long non-coding RNA (SPOL_LNC000017)". Lineage: Eukaryota; Viridiplantae; Streptophyta; Magnoliopsida; Alismatales; Araceae. The record is from RNAcentral.
GAACGACGGUAUUCGGAGGCUGAGAGUGUGGUAUUCGUCAUCUUCUGCUUAUGGGAAAACCUGGGUGCCUCGGCGGCGGCGGCGGCGACAUCCGAGAACCGGGGUCUGGCCCCAAUGCAUGGGUAGAAGAGGACGAUGAAAAGCAGGAAGAACCAGAGGGUGAAGCCGUGGGUCGAGGCCAUCAGAGGGUACAGGAUCUUAUUGGCUCGGUG